Molecule: transfer RNA, 17 nt
Filed under: Carlia amax
Lineage: Eukaryota; Metazoa; Chordata; Lepidosauria; Squamata; Scincidae
Also listed under: 1 other name
Description: partial tRNA-His
Source: RNAcentral
AGAAUGUGGACCUAAAA